Cinara cedri is the source of this 583-nucleotide non-coding RNA. Lineage: Eukaryota; Metazoa; Arthropoda; Insecta; Hemiptera; Aphididae. The record is from the annotation of a GenBank genome assembly.
GGGAAUUAACACUGUUUAAAAUAAUUCAUAAAACGGCGAACCGUUUGCGUGUCAAACGUCGACCGCUUAUCGUCUUAUCGUCGUAACGAAAAGUGUACCACCGUGUCACACACCGAAUUCGUCCUCGCCGGCCAGCGACCGCUCGAGAUUGCCGCGUCGACGGUUCGAAUCUACGGGCGCGGGCUGUUCGUCGUGACACUGCCGAAACGAUUGAAUGUCGUGCGGUUCGUGAGACGGACGCGUGCCGGUGUCUUAACGCCCUGCUUAACGGGACUGAUUGUUCGCACGCGCUACGACACCGAUCGGAUACGUACGCGAAAAAUGCGCGAUGAAAGGAAAAUCCGAAAUACGCGAGAAAUAAAACGUGUUAUCGCCUCUCGCGUACCGUCGGAUCGCGAAACGUAUUUCGGUGUAUACAAACUGUAGCCGUAGCUAGGUGUGUGUUGGGCGUGCGUUUAUUUUCCCCCGUCCGCCCGGGGGCGGACUUCGUAAAACACGUAACCGCGGCGAUCGAGAAAAGGCUCGGGAGAAAGAAUCACGGCAGCCGACCUUUUAAACGCGCGUUCCGUACAAAAUCUAUUAU